CUCGUAGGCGGCUUGUCGCGUCUGCUGUGAAAUCCUGGGGCUUAACUCUGGGCGUGCAGUGGGUACGGGCAGGCUAGAGUGCGGUAGGGGUGAUUGGAAUUCCUGGUGUAGCGGUGGAAUGCGCAGAUAUCAGGAGGAACACCGAUGGCGAAGGCAGGUCACUGGGCCGUUACUGACGCUGAGGAGCGAAAGCGUGGGGAGCGAACA
Molecule: ribosomal RNA, 207 nt
Filed under: uncultured bacterium
Lineage: Bacteria
Description: partial 16S ribosomal RNA
Rfam family: Bacterial small subunit ribosomal RNA
Source: RNAcentral